This 403-nucleotide ribosomal RNA is filed under the name uncultured bacterium. Its description in RNAcentral is "partial 16S ribosomal RNA". It matches the Rfam family "Bacterial small subunit ribosomal RNA", at positions 28 to 526 of the family's 1533-position model. The record is from RNAcentral.
GACGAACGCUGGCGGCGUGCCUAAUACAUGCAAGUCGAACGCAGUGGGGACGGGUGAGUAACACGUGGGUAACCUCCCAUCAGAGGGGAUAACCCUUGGAAACUGGUGCUAAACCGAUACUGAUGUAUGGACCCGCGGUGCAUUAGCUAGUUGGUGGGGUAACGGCCCACCAAGGCUACGAUGCAUAGCUGACCUGAGAGGAUGAUCGGCCACACUGGGACUGAGACACGGCCCAGACUCCUACGGGAGGCAGCAGUAGGGAAUAUUGGGCAAUGGACGAAAGCCUGACGAAGCAACGCCGCGGGAGUGAAGAAGGUUUUCGGAUCGUAAAACUCUUUUGUUAGAGAAGCGGUAUCUAACCAGAAAGCCACGGCUAACUACGUGCCAGCAGCCGCGGUAAUUC